CUACCAAUAAAAAAUGUUAAGUUUUUUCUCUAUUUGUCCUUGUUUGGAAAGGAGUCCCCCAUUCUAUCCGAUGCAAUACAGCAGAUCCCCUCCUACACUUCAUCAGCACAAACAGCACAUUUACUCCAGGGUUUUUUUUCUAGCAAUAUCAUUGUUAUCAAUAGAGAUCUGUCUCCCAAGCACAAUAUUGACAGCCCACAUGUCUGUUACAAUGAACACAACUAAAAGCAGAGUAUAUAGCUAACAAGAGAACAUAAAUAAUGUGCUAAUAUCACCCUGGCUGCCCAUAUUCAUCCACUCCCCCAUCUAGCUCCCAGCACAACCCACAGACACCGACUCCGUGGAGCACAAGGAUUAGCAAAGAAUAUGUUGAUGAGAAAGAGAUGAGCUCACAUCAGAGGGCGUCCUGUUCCUCAGCUCCAGCCGUAUCCUUCACCAUGAUGCCGUCCCUUCACCCAUCUCGGCCAGUGACUUCCAAACUCCCAAAACUGGGGAAGCCGGUUCUUGCAGAGAAUAAUCGACCCAACAAGGUGAGACAGAGGCUGAACAGCAAUCAACAGUUAUGUGGACCUGACAGGGGACUGAAGUAUAUCUUU
Molecule: long non-coding RNA, 596 nt
Organism: Xenopus laevis (African clawed frog)
Lineage: Eukaryota; Metazoa; Chordata; Amphibia; Anura; Pipidae
Exons: 3
Source: RefSeq, a predicted model, not a curated record